UGGAUAUGAUGACUGAUUACCUG
RNAcentral lists this non-coding RNA (23 nucleotides) under Cricetulus griseus (Chinese hamster). Lineage: Eukaryota; Metazoa; Chordata; Mammalia; Rodentia; Cricetidae. The record is from RNAcentral.